Molecule: long non-coding RNA, 455 nt
Organism: Dendronephthya gigantea
Lineage: Eukaryota; Metazoa; Cnidaria; Anthozoa; Malacalcyonacea; Nephtheidae
Exons: 3
Source: RefSeq, a predicted model, not a curated record
UAACCAUGGUGUUAGCACAAGAAGAAUCCUGGCUAAGGUUGGAACAAACAAGCUGUGGUCAUUAUAUAGUCUGAAGGGGAGAAAAGCAAAGCGGGCAUUUAAAGAACUUGCUGUCUCGAAAAUUGUUAUCAAGGCCUGUCUACGUGUUCACAAAGGUGUAAGUGAAAUAGACAUCGAGGAACAAAUUGCAGAGUAUUUGAAGCAUGCUCCACAGAAAUCCGGUGGCUCUAGAUACAAGGAUCGUAGGAACCAGGAGCAAGGAAGUGCAUAACUUAUUUUAUGCAUGGUGUACAUUUUAUCUAAGGCCUAUCUACACGAUGCGAUUAUAGUGGUAUGCGAUUCUUAUCCAGACGUAUGAAAACGAUUGCUGAUGCCAGUCUUUCUGUUCCUCAGUUUAUUAAAACGAAAUUUAAAAUUUGACAUCUUUACACACGUAUUUACUCGAAUACAUACGC